RNAcentral lists this long non-coding RNA (2553 nucleotides) under Homo sapiens (human). Its description in RNAcentral is "HSALNT0378724". The record is from RNAcentral. Lineage: Eukaryota; Metazoa; Chordata; Mammalia; Primates; Hominidae.
UGAUCUUCCAAAUAUUAGCCAAAGAGGCAUUCAGCAAUUAAAGACUUUUAAAAUAGUUUUCUAAAUGUUUGUUUUUCUUUUUUGACUGUGCAGCAUUGCCCAGGCUGGUCUUGAACUCCUGGGCUCAAGCAAUCUGCUUGCCUCAGCCUCCCUAAGUGCUAGUAUUACAGCACUUACGGAGUGUAAUACUAAAAAAAAAAUAAAUAAAUUUCUGUUUCUCUGGGAUAAAUGCCCAGGAGUAUAGAUGCUAUGUCAUAUGGUCAGGGUAUGUUCAGUUUUUAAACAAAUAGUGAAAUUAUUUUCCAAAGUGCCUGCAUCAGUACAAAAGAAAUAUAGAAAGGUUACCUCCCUUUAUAUCCUUUGACCCUCCUUCAUCUGUAACAUAAUGCCUUAAAUAUUUCCAAUAUAUAUACUGAAAACCAAAUCAGUGCUAUAAUUCUUGCUUCAACCAUCAUACAAUUUAGAAAAUUCAAAAGGAGGGGAAAGUCUAUUGUGUUUACCCAUAUUUUACUCUUUUUAUUGUUCUUUCUUCCUUCCUGAUGUUCCAAAAUUACUUCUUUUAUCAUUUCUUUUCUGUUUAGAGAAAUUCCUUUAGCCAUUCUUUUAGGGUAGGUCUCCUGAAGACAAAUCGUUAAUUUUCCCUUCACUCCUGAAGGAUAUUUCACUGGAUAUGUAACUCUGGGUUUAGAGUUUUUUUCUUGUUUUUUUUUUUUUUUUUUUUUUUUGAGACAAGGUCUCGCUCUGUCACCCAGGCUGGAGUACAGUGGCAUGAGCUUGGCUCACUGCAACCUCCACCUCCUGGGUUCAACCAAUUCUCUUGCCUCAGCCUCCCAAGUAGCUGGGACUAUAGGCGCCCACCACCAAGCCUGGAUAAUUUUUUUUUUUUUGAGAUGGAGUCUCGCUCAACUGCCCAGGCUGGAGUGCAGUGGCGCGACCUUGGCUCACUGCAACCGUCGCCUCCCAGGUUCAAGCGAUUCCCCUGCCUCAGCCUCCCAAGUAGCUAGGAUUAUAGGUGCGUGCCACCACACCUGGCUAAUUUUUGUAUUUUUAGUAGAGACAGGGUUUCCCCAUGUUGGCCAGGCUGGUCUCGAACUCCUGACUUCAGGUGAUCUGCCUGCCUCAGCCUCCAAAAGUGCUGGGAUUACAGGUGUGUGCCACCGUGCCCAGCCUAGAGUUUUUGUCUUUCAGCACUAGAAAAAAUGUUGUAUGUACCCCUUCCUUCUGGCCUUUAUGAUCUCUGAUGGGAAAUCUGCUGUCAUUCAAAUUGCUUAGGUAAGGUCAUUUCUUGCUAAUUUCGAGAUCUUCAUUUUUUGUCUGCAGUGUUCAGAAAUCUGACUGUGAUGUGUCUCUGUGUGAACUUCUUUGAGUUUAUCAUAUUUGAGCUUCAUUCAGCUUUUUCAAUCUGUAGGUUUCUGACUUUUGCCAAAUUUGGGAAAUUUUCAGCCAUGACUUCUUCCUCAAUUUUUUUCAGCCCCACCCUUUCUCAUCUCCUUCUGGGAAUCCUGACACAAAUUUAGAUGGAGUCUUGCUCUGUUGCCCAGGCUGCAGUACACUAGUGCGAUCUUGGAUCACUGCAACCUCCGUCUCCCAGGUUCCAGUGAUUUUCCUGCCUUAGCCUUCCCAGUAGCUGGGAUUACAGGCAUGUGCCACCACGCCCAGCUAAUUUUUGUAUUUUUAGUAGAGACAGGGUUUCACCAUGCUGGCCAGGCUGGUCUUGAAUUCCUGACCUUAAGUGUUUGGCCCACCUUGGCCUCCCAAAGUGCUGGGAUUACAGGCAUGGGCCACCAUGCCUGGUCAGCUAUAAGCAUUUGAUAUAAGUUUUUAUGUGAACCUAAGUUUUCUUUUCUUUUGGUUAUAUAUACAUGAUUGGGACUGCUGGAUCACAUGGCUAAGUAUACAUUUAUCAAAAAAAUGCCAAACUGUUUUCCAAAGCUGUACACUUUUACAUUCCCAUUAACAGUAUAUGAGUCUCAGCUGCUUGGAUCCUUGCCAACACUUGGUAUUGUCAGUUUUAUUUCUUCAUUAAAGCCAUACCUACAGGGGUGCCAUGGUGUCUCACUGUGGUUUUAUCGUGCAUUUCCCUGUGACUAGUGAUGCUGAGAGUCUUUUCAUGUGCUUAUUUGUCAUCCCUAUGUCUUAUUUGGUGAAAUAUCUUUUCAAAUCCUUCACCUUUUUAUUGAGUUGUUUUCUGAUUAUUCAGUUUUAAGAGUUCUUUAUAUAUUCUGCUUAUAAUUUCUUUGUCAGAUAGUUACUUUUUCUCUCAACUUCUACUACUAAUUGGCCAAAGUUUAAGACAUAUUUAAACCGAGACCUGGAAAGUAACUCUGCACUUCCCAUUGUUAUUUAGAUUAUACUCAAGUAUUUUUCAUUUUCCAGGUGGUAAAAUGUGUUUAUUUUUCACCUACUAAUAUUCAUGAUUUCUGGCCGGACGUGAUGGCUCACGCCUGUAAUCCCAGCACUUUGGGAGGCCGAGGCGGGCGGAUCAUGAGGUCAGGAGAUUGAGACCAUCCUGGCUAACAUGGUGAAACCCUGUCUCUACUAAAAAUACAAAAA